RNAcentral lists this ribosomal RNA (397 nucleotides) under uncultured bacterium. RNAcentral's name for it is "partial 16S ribosomal RNA". It matches the Rfam family "Bacterial small subunit ribosomal RNA", at positions 523 to 918 of the family's 1533-position model. The record is from RNAcentral.
AUACGUAGGGGGCGAGCGUUGUCCGGAUUGAUUGGGCGUAAAGGGCGCGUAGGCGGCCUGUUAAGUCUGGAGUGAAAGUCCUGUUUUCAAGAUGGGAAUUGCUUUGGAUACUGAUGGGCUUGAGUGCAGGAGAGGUUAUCGGAAUUCCCGGUGUAGCGGUGCAAUGCGUAGAGAUCGGGAGGAACACCAGUGGCGAAGGCGGGUAACUGGACUGCAACUGACGCUGAGGCGCGAAAGUGUGGGGAGCAAACAGGAUUAGAUACCCUGGUAGUCCACACUGUAAACGAUGAAUGCUAGGUGUAAGAGGUAUCGACCCCUUUUGUGCCGGAGUUAACACAAUAAGUAUUCCGCCUGGGGAGUACGGCCGCAAGGUUGAAACUCAAAUGAAUUGGCGGGG